CUCUUUUUUUUUCUUCUUCUUUCUCUCUCUCGCUCGACCGAAACCGAAAACAGAGCAAAGGCUCUUCGGUCUCUCUCUACCUCCACCGGCCACCAAACGGCGUCGAACCACUUCCUUUUGCUUCGUCUCAGCCUUGCGCAGCUGCCAGAGGCAGCCUUGCACCGUGACACGGCCACCAGCGGCGGCGGGAAGCUCCGCCCGGUUUGAGCUCGUUUUGGAAACAAGCUUGAUAUCUCAAGCUACCGGUCACCAAUCCUCACCAAAAUCCAUCCACAAGCUCGCCUCAACUUCCUGAAAACUCCCAGAAGCAGCCUCACACGGCGGCGUGGCCCGUAGCAGUGGCUGCAAGUCAAACCCAACCAAGAACGAGACCGGAGCUAUCGAUCAAGAUAUCUCGAGCUGUAGUGCAUCGUUUUGAUUGAUUCUUUUUCCAGUGGGUUCCCCUUGAUGUUAUUAACAACUCUCUAGAAGGCAUCGAGGCCUGAAAUUGAAGCUUUGACGUCGAAAUCGAGCCUUGCCGGAUUCUGCAAAAUUCUGGAAUUUUUCCGACCACCGAAGCUUUAGAUCGGUAUAUCUCGAGCUACAGACCAUAUUUUUCUGUGAUUCUUGAACCAGUGAGUUCUUCUUGAGUUUCUUAACAACUCUUCAGAAGAAAUCGAAGCCUUAAAUUGACGUUUUUACGUCGAAUUGGAGCUCGCCGUUUUCUGCAGUUUCUCGCCGGUUUCUGGAAAAUUCCGGCCACCUUCAUACUGUUCAAGGUGAUUGACGGUUUGAGUUGGCGGACGAUUGUGAAUCGUAUUUUGAGCUGUUAAGAAGACGCAGCGGGAUUAGAGCGGGUAAUCCUACAGGUCAGGAGAACCAGGACGGUGAUCGGGCUGCUUAGAGUAGUGUUAUGUGAAUUACAGCAUUAUAUUGUGAGGUUUGUUAUGCUCAUUUAGAGCUUUACGAUUUUACUUUGUAAGAGUGAAUUGUAAUAAUUAACUCGAGGUUUUUCGAGUUUUGUGUUGA
This is a long non-coding RNA of Rosa rugosa (rugosa rose), 1008 nucleotides long. RefSeq lists it as uncharacterized. NCBI's taxonomy places the organism in Eukaryota, Viridiplantae, Streptophyta, Magnoliopsida, Rosales, Rosaceae. The transcript is spliced from 3 exons. The record is from RefSeq and is a predicted model, not a curated record.